GCAUACGUGGUGGAAAUGGAAAUACACAUAGCACUUAAAAUGCUACGCUUAAAUGAUUGAGGGUUCGAGUCCCUCCGUAUGCA
RNAcentral lists this transfer RNA (83 nucleotides) under Pantoea phage vB_PagS_AAS21. It matches the Rfam family "tRNA". Rfam says of the family: Transfer RNA (tRNA) molecules are approximately 80 nucleotides in length. Their secondary structure includes four short double-helical elements and three loops (D, anti-codon, and T loops). Further hydrogen bonds mediate the characteristic L-shaped molecular structure. tRNAs have two regions of fundamental functional importance: the anti-codon, which is responsible for specific mRNA codon recognition, and the 3' end, to which the tRNAs corresponding amino acid is attached (by aminoacyl-tRNA synthetases). tRNAs cope with the degeneracy of the genetic code in two manners: having more than one tRNA (with a specific anti-codon) for a particular amino acid; and 'wobble' base-pairing, i.e. permitting non-standard base-pairing at the 3rd anti-codon position. The record is from Rfam by way of RNAcentral. Lineage: Duplodnaviria; Heunggongvirae; Uroviricota; Caudoviricetes; Demerecviridae.